UUAGCAACAAAAAGAAUGGGCAGCCUCGCCUCUUCUUCAACAACAAAAAAUUCCUAAUUCCUAAGGCUAAGAGCUGGACAGCUGCAUUUUCCAAAAAAUCUCUCUCACACACACGUGGAAGAAGAAACAGAGGCGAAAGAACGAGUAGCUGCUGGUCAUUUUUGAGGUUGCCGGCGAGGUCCCUUCCAUGGGCGAUGGCAAAUUCUUCGGUCGAAAGUUCCAUAAUCUUCAAGUUGGUGUAAUUUUAAUUCAAAUUCAUCUAUAAAGGUACCAUUCACUCCUUCUGUCAUCAUAUUCCUUUGGUUAUGUUGGUUCCUAAGACUGUAACUUUUCACUCUUUGUUGCUCUAUUGAAUUCUGUUGGAUCUUUGUCCUUUUCUUACUUUUAUGGGAUUUUACGAGGUUGGUAUUCAUUUUUGGUUACUUUUUAUGCCCUGUUUGGUUGUUCUUGAAUUGUUUGGUGAUUGUCACUUGUCAGUUUAAAGAGUCAUGGUGGUUAAAAUUCUGAAAAGCAAGAAUUGAAAAUUGUCAUAUGGGUCGUCUUACUUUUUCCUCACAUUUAUAUGUUUUGUCGUUUUACUUGAAGAUUUUUUGGAAGAAAGUGAUUUGUUUGGGAAGGAUUUUUUUAGUAUGGAAGUUUUGUAGGCUUGGAUUUAUGCUUGUGUAGCUUGUCUUCCCCUUGUUGAUUCAACCUAAAAUACCAGAUUUCUUGUGCAGUUUUGAAAGCUCAUCGGUUAUUUACUCGCAUGCUACUCGAAUUGGUUAUAGCUGAAUAUGAUUUUGUCACAGUAUAGAAAUUGGGUUGCUAUUCAUCAACUAAACUACGUCAAAUUAGAUUAAAGGGACUUGGGUGUACAUUUCAUGUGACCCUGCCAUAAUUUUGAUUAAUAAUAAUAAAAUAAGCACGUUAUAAAUCACGGGUGCAUUUCAUGUAACGCGGUUUGCAAUGCAUACCAAAACGACAAGUGUACGACAUCGUGCCUUGUUCCAAAAAAUAAUUCCAUAAAUAUUAAAGGCGGCUAAUAAGUUAAAAAUGUACCAUAGGCUAAAACAUGUAUUAAAAUCAGAUAAUAGGCCAAUUAUGAUAGUUUAAGCGAUCGUGCUAGAACCACGGAACUCGGGAAUGCCUAACACCUUUUCCCAGGUUAACAGAAUUCCUUACCCGGAUUUCUGGUUCGCGGACUGUGAUACAGAGUCAUUCUUUCCUCGAUUCGGGAUUUGAACCGGUGACUUGGGACACCAUAAAUGUUCCCAAGUGGCAACUCUAAAUUUUAAUAAAAUAAUCCCGUUUUGAUUGUUACUUUAAGUUGGAAAAGUACUCCCUUGUACCACCCUCUCGGGAUGUAAGUGAAAAAGGAGGUGUGACAGCUCUGGCGACUCUGCUGGGAAUCGAACCUAGAAUCUCUGGUUCAGGGUUCAAGAAUUCGAGCUUAGAAUAGUUGUUAUAGUUGGCUUUAUCCAUUAUCUGAAUUUGUUACAUGAUUUGAGCCUAAUGUGCUAAUUGAUUGCUUUUACCGCUUUGAUAUUCCGUUGACUGUAUAUAAACUGUUGCGAAAUCCCUCUUCUCUCUGAGUCUUCUAAAUCAUGAAGAAGUGUGCACUUCGUGUGACUUUUUUUCUGUUAGAUUCAUAUCCCAAAUUUAGAACGAGGUUUGGACAAGUUGCAAAGCCGGUGAAGCUUCUGUAUUCCCGGUACGCUGCCCCCCCCUCCCGGCUCGAGCUGUCUGCUCGGGUAAGCCAGGUCUAGAACAAUAAACCCUUGUUUGGAACCUAGUACAGCAAGACCUCAUAUCGGAGCCCUAGUAGGAAUGUUUGCCUGCAUCAUGUGCAUUUAACUUUGGAGACUCAACACAGGGGUUGGGUCUGUCUAGGACAGGUGUACCCGAAAUGAAAAGACCAUCUUGAUGCAUCCUAUGUGCUACAUGUAGCAUUUCUUCAAGGUUAAAAGGGUCAUUUGGCGGACCAAUAUUAGUUGAGGGCAAAUGAAAAAAAAAAAGAAGAAAAAGAGAGGGUGAAGUGUGAAGAUGAAGCAAGUGGGGACCAGUUAUAAGUUUCUUUCACACUUUUUCAAGCAAAAAUUGAAAAUGAAAAAUUUAAAGAAAAAGAUUUUGCACUUUUUCAUCAUUUUCCGUAAAUUAGAAAAUCAAAAAAAAAGGAAAAAGAAAAUCCAAAAAAGAUUUUGCAUGUUUCAUCAUUUUUCAAGAAAAAGCAGCAAAAAAUAUGUUUUCUCUAAAUUAGUUGUUUUUUAAUUCUCGCCCGUAUCCAAUCGGCCCGAACUACGCAUACCUGAUUCUCGUCUUUCGGGGCAUGAUACGUAGGUAACCCACAUAGGGUCCGGUCUUCCUAGUAAAUCUUAGAUUCUUGGCUUUGCGGGGUCUUAGCCAAAUUUUGCACUUCUAACCACCUUUUGGCCAAAUAAGUCAUUUUGCGAAAAUAGCCUCAAUCAUGUCUUGCAUGUGUCUAGUAGGGAAUGUUAUUGUCUCACAUAGUGUUGGUUUAAGUUUUCUCAUACAGGUGUGGAUCCACUUACCGGAGUUUGAGCAUGACAUACCCCAGGACCACCACAUUCAGGAGUUGCUUAAGGAGAUUUUUAUAUUUUUAUAUUUGUUAUUUUUAUUUUAUUUUUAUGUUUUGAGUAUGUUUUUUAUGUCGUCUUUUACCUUCUAGUUUUGUACAGCAAUGUCGAGUUUUUUUUAUUGUACUUUUUAUUUUGUAUUUGAAAAGGUGUGG
This 2728-nucleotide long non-coding RNA is filed under the name Nicotiana tabacum (common tobacco). RNAcentral's name for it is "long non-coding RNA (NTAB_LNC001022)". The record is from RNAcentral. Lineage: Eukaryota; Viridiplantae; Streptophyta; Magnoliopsida; Solanales; Solanaceae.